UACGUAGUGUGCGAGCGUUAAUCGGAAUUACUGGGCGUAAAGCGUGCGCAGGCGGCCGAGCAAGUCGAGUGUGAAAGCCCCGAGCUUAACUUGGGAACUGCGCUCGAAACUACUUGGCUAGAGUGUGGCAGAGGGAGGUGGAAUUCCACGUGUAGCGGUGAAAUGCGUAGAGAUGUGGAGGAACACCGAUGGCGAAGGCAGCCUCCUGGGCCAACACUGACGCUCAUGCACGAAAGCGUGGGGAGCAAACAGG
RNAcentral lists this ribosomal RNA (253 nucleotides) under uncultured bacterium. Its description in RNAcentral is "partial 16S ribosomal RNA". It matches the Rfam family "Bacterial small subunit ribosomal RNA", at positions 524 to 776 of the family's 1533-position model. The record is from RNAcentral.